Molecule: ribosomal RNA, 634 nt
Filed under: Laomedea angulata
Lineage: Eukaryota; Metazoa; Cnidaria; Hydrozoa; Leptothecata; Obeliidae
Description: partial 16S ribosomal RNA
Rfam family: Bacterial large subunit ribosomal RNA
Source: RNAcentral
AAAAACAUAGCCCUAGAUAAAAUCUAAGGUGUGACCUGCCCAGUGGUUUAAAAUUUAUAAUAAAAAAAAUUAGAAAUAAAACUAAAAGGACGCGGUAACCUUGACCGUGAUAAUGUAGCGUAAUCACUCGCCAUUUAAUUGAUGGAUAGUAUGAAUGGUUGAACGAAUAUUCCACUGUCUUAAAGAAAAUUAUAAGAAAUUGAAAUAAUAGUCAAGAUGCUAUUUAAAACUGUAAGACGAAAAGACCCUAUAGAGCUUAACUAUACUCUUUUUACUAUAACUUAAAAAUAAUUUUUUGAUAUAGAAAGGGUGGUAGUUUAGUUGGGGCGACUGUCUUCUAAAUGAAACGAAGACAAGCAAUGUUAAUAAUGAACUUAUCGUAUAAUGAAUAUAUUUAACGAUUACAAAAGUGGGCUAUAUUGACCCGUUUCUUCUCAAAAAUAAAGAGAAACGAUUAAUUGAUAAAAGCUACCUUAGGGAUAACAGGAUAAUUUCAUUCUAGAGCUCGUAUCGAAAAUGAAGUUUGUCACCUCUAUGUUGAAUUAAGAUACCCCGGUAAUGCAGCAGUUACCAAAGGUAGGUCUGUUCGACCUUUAAAAUCUUACAUGAUUUGAGUUCAUUCCGUCGCAAGACA